GACGAACGCUGGCGGCGUGCCUAAUACAUGCAAGUUGAGCGCUGAAGGUUGGUACUUGUACCAACUGGAUGAGCAGCGAACGGGUGAGUAACGCGUGGGGAAUCUGCCUUUGAGCGGGGGACAACAUUUGGAAACGAAUGCUAAUACCGCAUAAAAACUUUAAACACAAGUUUUAAGUUUGAAAGAUGCAAUUGCAUCACUCAAAGAUGAUCCCGCGUUGUAUUAGCUAGUUGGUGAGGUAAAGGCUCACCAAGGCGAUGAUACAUAGCCGACCUGAGAGGGUGAUCGGCCACAUUGGGACUGAGACACGGCCCAAACGCCUACGGGAGGCAGCAGUAGGGAAUCUUCGGCAAGGGACGAAAGUCUGACCGAGCAACGCCGCGUGAGUGAAGAAGGUUGUCGGAUCGUAAAACUCUGUUGGUAGAGAAGAACGUUGGUGAGAGUGGAAAGCUCAUCAAGUGACGGUAACUACACAGAAAGGGACGGCUAACUACGUG
This 497-nucleotide ribosomal RNA is filed under the name uncultured bacterium. Its description in RNAcentral is "partial 16S ribosomal RNA". It matches the Rfam family "Bacterial small subunit ribosomal RNA", at positions 28 to 507 of the family's 1533-position model. The record is from RNAcentral.